This 104-nucleotide small nuclear RNA is filed under the name Prolemur simus (greater bamboo lemur). Lineage: Eukaryota; Metazoa; Chordata; Mammalia; Primates; Lemuridae. The record is from RNAcentral.
GUGCUUGUUUCAGCAGCACAUAUACUAAAAUUGGAACAAUACAGAGAUUAGCAUGGCCCCUGUGCAAGGAUGACAUGAAAAGAAAAAAAAAUUAAAAAAAAGAA